Molecule: ribosomal RNA, 473 nt
Filed under: uncultured bacterium
Lineage: Bacteria
Description: bacterial SSU rRNA
Rfam family: Bacterial small subunit ribosomal RNA
Source: RNAcentral
GAUGAACGCUAGCGGCAGGCUUAACACAUGCAAGUCGAGGGGCAGCACGGGUAGCAAUACCUGGUGGCGACCGGCGCAAGGGUGCGUAACGCGUGAGCAACAUGCCCUAUACAGGGGGAUAAUCCAGGGAAACUUGGUCUAAUAUCCCAUAGCAUUUAGAGGUGGCAUCACCAUUAAAUUAAAGCUUCGGUGGUAUAGGAUUGGCUCGCGUGACAUUAGCUAGAUGGUGGGGUAACGGCUCACCAUGGCUAUGAUGUCUAGGGGUUCUGAGAGGAAGACCCCCCCAACUGGGACUGAGACACGGCCCAGACUCCUACGGGAGGCAGCAGUGAGGAAUAUUGGACAAUGGAUGGAAAUCUGAUCCAGCCAUGCCGCGUGCAGGAAGACGGCCCUAUGGGUUGUAAACUGCUUUUAUAUGGGAGCAAUAAGGUCUACGGUAGCCGAUGAGAGUACCAUAUGAAUAAGCAUCGGUA